UACGGAGGAUGCAAGCGUUAUCCGGAAUGAUUGGGCGUAAAGCGUCCGCAGGUGGCUGUGUAAGUCUGCUGUCAAAGAGCGAAGCUCAACUUCGUAAAGGCAGUGGAAACUACACGGCUAGAGUGCGUUCGGGGCAGAGGGAAUUCCUGGUGUAGCGGUGAAAUACGUAGAGAUCAGGAAGAACACCGGUGGCGAAGGCGCUCUGCUAGGCCGCAACUGACACUGAGGGACGAAAGCUAGGGGAGCGAAUGGG
This 253-nucleotide ribosomal RNA is filed under the name uncultured bacterium. RNAcentral's name for it is "partial 16S ribosomal RNA". It matches the Rfam family "Bacterial small subunit ribosomal RNA", at positions 524 to 776 of the family's 1533-position model. The record is from RNAcentral.